Molecule: ribosomal RNA, 253 nt
Filed under: uncultured bacterium
Lineage: Bacteria
Description: partial 16S ribosomal RNA
Rfam family: Bacterial small subunit ribosomal RNA
Source: RNAcentral
UACGUAGGUGGCAAGCGUUGUUCGGAAUCAUUGGGCGUAAAGGGCGCGUAGGCGGCCGAUCAAGUCGGGUGUGAAAUCCCUCGGCUCAACCGAGGAACUGCACUCGAUACUGAUCGGCUCGAGUCCGGGAGGGGAUGGUGGAAUUCCCAGUGUAGCGGUGAAAUGCGUAGAUAUUGGGAAGAACACCGGUGGCGAAGGCGGCCAUCUGGACCGGAACUGACGCUGAGGCGCGAAAGCCAGGGGAGCGAAUGGG